GGUCGAUAUUCAUUCGACAGUAUAUUACGUAUGGAACAUAAUAUUAAUAUGUUUUCGACGAACAUUGUCGAUAAAUAUAUUAUGUUAAGAAAGGAUUGGAAACGAAAUCUACACUACUAUAGAAAUACAAGCGAAUUCGAUUGAAUCGGCCAGUGGGUAUAUGGGUUUCGUGUUAAUUUAGAAACGAAAUAAUUUCAUCCAAUCGACCUCGCCCGACCAUAAACCCCGAGCCAGCGGCGAGCCCACUCGUUUCGUGUAAAUGUCAACCUUGUUUAUAGAUUGUGCACGUCACACACAACGCGCGCGCUGCGUCGUGUAUUUUCACCGAAAAGGCCAAAAUCCUAUCGGCAAAAUAUUAAGAACGCAAAAGAAAAAAAAAACUAAAACAAAGCUUUCCUCCUUAUGGAAAUUACCGCCUCCAAACACGCUAAUAUUCGUCAAACACGAAACGUAAAUUAAUGACGUCUAGUAAUAAACACACGGAGGAGAAUCUAGCAAUUACUGCCCUCGUAUUUUGUACAAGAGUUUGCAGUACCUGUGUGGUACCUAAACGAUUAAAUCACUUAAAAAAAGAUUAAAGUUUUUAAAUACUAUUUCGUUUUGUUUUUUUUUUUAAAAAAAAUAUUUAUUUUAAUUAAUGUUUUGAAUUUUGAUCGAAACGAGGAUUGUAUUGGGUUUUUAUUCCUAAGAAAACGCCUUUACGGUUAGUAAGAAUGCUCCGAUUUCUUCAUACGAUACUUUAUAGAUGCAAUAUUUCCACCCGGUGAUUCUUUAAUUGAAUCGUUUUUACUACUCGAUAAGAAUUUCAAUCCUAAAAUAUUAACUAGGGAUAUUUCUUUUUUCAAAGCAAAAAAUAAAAACCUUGUCGAAGCAAAAAUGUUUUUGUUAAUUAUUCAACAUUUUGACGGUAUUAGCUGAAACCAAGAACAGAUCUGGGAGAGGGGGAGCUUCUACAAAGAUCCAUCAAAAUGUUUUAAAAACAAAAUAUGUUUACCCAAGUUAAUUGAAAAAAAUAUUAGACAUUUUAGGGGAUUAUUUUCUAAAUUAGUGGUCCGAAUAUUCAGUAGUCAAUUCCGGCUUGUGUGUUUUUGUUUGUUUGCGUGCUGUAUCGACCAGGGAAUAAGUUAGGUUUGUAUUGUAAGUAUUACUGUAUUAAAAUACAACCGACACAAGGAUUGUGCAAUAUUUUGAGUUUGAAUUUCACAUACGAUUUCCGAUUAAAAGAAAAAAGAAAAUAAUAAUACUAAUAAAAAUAAAUUGAAUAACGGUUUAUAUUUUUUCGCUCUACUUGUGUAAUGUCGUAAUUUAUUAUCAUAAAUAUUCAAUUUCUUUCCGACCACCCGAACGCGUGGCAACAUAAAUAUUCUUUAUAGGUUACUUAUGUAUACAUAGUAUGAGAUUCAAUAUUACAUGAGCGUUCGAUAUUUCAUCGUAAUUAUUGUUGAAAACGUUGUAAUCGAAAAAGCUCGAAAUACGUGGGCGCACGUGACCUUAUCAAUAUUGUGAACGAUUCUUCGGCGCAUAUUAAUUUGUUUUUUUAUCAUUAUUGUUAUUGUUAUUGACGUUAUUAAGGGAUAUUCGUAUGGGAGCCGGAAACGUUUAUUUGACCGAAGUAUAAUACAUGUAUACGAUAUUCGCGAACCCAAAUGGCUAACUUAAUAAUAUUCCAAAUAAUGAAGUUAUUUUGGUUUUGUUUAAAAUAUUCAACGCGGGUGAACCGCAAUAUGCCAUUCUGUUUAUCGUGUACGGUACGUUGUAUAUGCAACAACAAAUCAUUAAAUUAUUUCGUAUACGUUUGAUUACCCGUUUAACACGCUAUCUAUGAUAUAGUUUAAUAGUAUAACAUAAUUUCUUGGUCGGUAUUAGUACGUUUUUUUUUUCCAAUGAUCAAUACAAAAACAAUUGUAUACUCGUGCGAAAACAUUGAAUGUCUUGCCAUUAUUCUUGUUGGUUUGUGAGUCGCAUAUUUCGUUUUAGAUUCUGAAAUUUCGUUUUAAGUUCAAUUUUUAACGAAAAUCGUGAAUGUCUUGACAUUUUUACGUUACAAGUUGAACUUAGUGGUAAACUCAAAAAAAAAAAAAAAAAGCUGAAUGUAAUUUAAUAAUUUUUGGAAAGCAUUUGCAAAAAUACUAUAAUUUUGUUCACAAUAAUAUAAUUCAUACCGACCGAACUUAACUCAGGAUCGUUUUUCGUUAGUAAUGAUUCAUCGAUGCCACCGUUAUAAAUUAAAUGCAUUAUAUGUCCUACCUUCUAGACUUUCCACCCACGACAGUGACACACCCUUCAGCAAUUUUGGCUUUUUUUUUUUUGGUUUUACUACUACUUCAAUUUAAAAUACUAGAAAAGGUACAGAAUUAUUUCUUAGAACAAUAAGUAUAAAAUUUACAUACUCGAAAAUUAAGAAAAAAAUACCUUUUCAAAAAUGUAAUUAUUUAUUGAAAAAAUUGAGUACAAUACGAUGAUUUAACUCAAAUUUAUACAAAUUUACUUACAUGCAUUUGUUAUUGUAAUUAUAAUUUUAUUUUUCAAUUAGAAAUAUCAUGUUAUAGGCAUGCCUUGUACGCGAUUCUGAAAUUGUUGACCGUAUCAUUGUAAUAUUAUUUGAAUACGUUUUUUAUAAAACAAAGUCAAUUAAAUAACACAAAUGGUCGUUCAAAAACUAAAUUUUUUGGUGACACGUUUGAUAUCAGUGUUAACGAAUAAAUUUUUAUACACACAUCUUUGCAUUAAAUAAUUUUUUUUUGCUUUUCUUUUAAACAUUUUACAUCGACUUAUGUUAUAAAACGGACACUUCCCGAUUUAUUAUUUACUGACUAUAAUAUGGUUACAGUGUAUUUUAUUUAUUACCAAAUCGACUGAUGGCUAUAUACAUGUGAAAUAUUAGGUUUUCGAAAAGUUCAAAAGAAACGUAUUACACGACAAAUGUGUUAUUAUUUAUACAUUUAUUUUAUCAUCCGUAUGCAACGAUUCAUAUUUUGAUGUUUAUACAUUUGUAUCGUUUUUCACAAAGUGUAAUAUUUUAUUAUUGAUGGGAUUGGUGACUGUGUACAUUUUAGUCGAUUUCGAUCCAAAAGCCAAACAGAACUCUAGAAAUUGUGUCUGUCGGAUUUAAAUUUUAAAAACGGAUUACGGUUCUUUGUGUUAUUUACCAGGAUAUUUUGGAAAUAUAAAUUUAAUUAUUUUACUGGAAAUCUUCAACAAAUUUGAAUAUUUUUGAAAAGUGUUUAAAAAUGUGCUUAUCGUGUUUUAUUUAUGAAAAAAAACAAAAUAAAUAAUAAUUUCAACAUAUCAUACUAUAAUAAAGAACCUAAAGAAUACGUGUUGAAAGUUUAAAUCCGUUAAACGCAAUUCCUAUACAAUUUUGUUCGGCUUUUUCGUUUAAAACGUCGUAUUUGUUCGUGAAAUCCUAACGUAGCCAUCAAAUAAGAAUCGGGGAGUGGGAUAUUUUUGAGGGCUGUACUUAUUUUGUUUUUUCUAAAAAGUUGUCACACAAAUAAUUAUUGCCAUUAAAAAAAAACAAAAACAAACACCACUUUAAUAUUAUAUUUUGAUAUGUUUUAUGUAUCAAUAUAUUAGAUUGUUUGUAAUUAGAUCAAAAUUGUAUUUUAAACAUUGCCUACUCAGAUAUUAUAAAAUUGAAUUAAAAUAAAUGUGUAAUUAAGUAC
Molecule: non-coding RNA, 3665 nt
Organism: Cinara cedri
Lineage: Eukaryota; Metazoa; Arthropoda; Insecta; Hemiptera; Aphididae
Source: the annotation of a GenBank genome assembly